This 200-nucleotide ribosomal RNA is filed under the name uncultured bacterium. RNAcentral describes it as "partial 16S ribosomal RNA". It matches the Rfam family "Bacterial small subunit ribosomal RNA", at positions 8 to 209 of the family's 1533-position model. The record is from RNAcentral.
AGAGUUUGAUCCUGGCUCAGAUUGAACGCUGGCGGCAUGCCUUACACAUGCAAGUCGAACGGCAGCACGGGGGCAACCCUGGUGGCGAGUGGCGAACGGGUGAGUAAUACAUCGGAACGUGUCCUGUAGUGGGGGAUAGCCCGGCGAAAGCCGGAUUAAUACCGCAUACGAUCUACGGAGGAAAGCGGGGGAUCUUCGGA